GGAGAGGUGUCCGAGUGGUUGAAGGAGCACGCUUGGAAAGCGUGUGUAUCUUAAAGGUACCCAGGGUUCGAAUCCCUGUCUCUCCG
RNAcentral lists this transfer RNA (86 nucleotides) under Fidelibacterota bacterium. Its description in RNAcentral is "tRNA-Ser". It matches the Rfam family "tRNA". Rfam says of the family: Transfer RNA (tRNA) molecules are approximately 80 nucleotides in length. Their secondary structure includes four short double-helical elements and three loops (D, anti-codon, and T loops). The record is from RNAcentral. Lineage: Bacteria; Pseudomonadati; Fidelibacterota.